RNAcentral lists this ribosomal RNA (729 nucleotides) under Raoultella sp. RNAcentral's name for it is "bacterial SSU rRNA". It matches the Rfam family "Bacterial small subunit ribosomal RNA", at positions 31 to 749 of the family's 1533-position model. The record is from RNAcentral. Lineage: Bacteria; Pseudomonadati; Pseudomonadota; Gammaproteobacteria; Enterobacterales; Enterobacteriaceae.
GAACGCUGGCGGCAGGCCUAACACAUGCAAGUCGAGCGGUAGCACAGGAGAGCUUGCUCUCUGGGUGACGAGCGGCGGACGGGUGAGUAAUGUCUGGGAAACUGCCUGAUGGAGGGGGAUAACUACUGGAAACGGUAGCUAAUACCGCAUAACGUCGCAAGACCAAAGUGGGGGACCUUCGGGCCUCAUGCCAUCAGAUGUGCCCAGAUGGGAUUAGCUAGUAGGUGGGGUAAUGGCUCACCUAGGCGACGAUCCCUAGCUGGUCUGAGAGGAUGACCAGCCACACUGGAACUGAGACACGGUCCAGACUCCUACGGGAGGCAGCAGUGGGGAAUAUUGCACAAUGGGCGCAAGCCUGAUGCAGCCAUGCCGCGUGUAUGAAGAAGGCCUUCGGGUUGUAAAGUACUUUCAGCGAGGAGGAAGGCAUUAAGGUUAAUAACCUUAGUGAUUGACGUUACUCGCAGAAGAAGCACCGGCUAACUCCGUGCCAGCAGCCGCGGUAAUACGGAGGGUGCAAGCGUUAAUCGGAAUUACUGGGCGUAAAGCGCACGCAGGCGGUUUGUUAAGUCAGAUGUGAAAUCCCCGGGCUCAACCUGGGAACUGCAUUUGAAACUGGCAAGCUUGAGUCUUGUAGAGGGGGGUAGAAUUCCAGGUGUAGCGGUGAAAUGCGUAGAGAUCUGGAGGAAUACCGGUGGCGAAGGCGGCCCCCUGGACAAAGACUGACGCUCA